Molecule: ribosomal RNA, 538 nt
Filed under: uncultured bacterium
Lineage: Bacteria
Description: bacterial SSU rRNA
Rfam family: Bacterial small subunit ribosomal RNA
Source: RNAcentral
AGAGUUUGAUCAUGGCUCAGAACGAACGCUGGCGGCGUGGAUAAGACAUGCAAGUCGAACGGGAUUUGUUUGGUAGCAAUAUCAAGCAAGUCCAGUGGCGUAAGGGUGCGUAACACGUGGGGAAUCUGCCGAGAAGUGGGGGAUAGCUCGUCGAAAGGCGAAUUAAUACCGCAUGUGGUUAGUGGGGACAUCCUCACGAUACCAAAGCCGGGGCAACCUGGCGCUUCUUGAUGACCCCGCGGCCUAUCAGCUAGUUGGUGAGGUAACGGCUCACCAAGGCUAUGACGGGUAGCUGGUCUGAGAGGACGACCAGCCACACUGGAACUGAGACACGGUCCAGACACCUACGGGUGGCAGCAGUCGAGAAUUUUUCUCAAUGGGGGAAACCCUGAAGGAGCGACGCCGCGUGGAGGAUGAAGGUCUUCGGAUUGUAAACUCCUGUCAUUUGGGAACAAUGUGCAUGGAUUAACUGUCGAUGCAUUGAUAGUACCAGAAGAGGAAGAGACGGCUAACUCUGUGCCAGCCGCCGCGGUAAUAC